This 379-nucleotide ribosomal RNA is filed under the name Amblyomma tholloni. RNAcentral's name for it is "partial 16S ribosomal RNA". The stretch from base 97 to 379 matches the Rfam family "Bacterial large subunit ribosomal RNA", at positions 2079 to 2610 of the family's 2925-position model. Lineage: Eukaryota; Metazoa; Arthropoda; Arachnida; Ixodida; Ixodidae. The record is from RNAcentral.
UUGAAUGCUAAGAGAAUGGAUUUACAGAGAAAUUCUUUUUUAAUUUUAAAAAUUAAAAUUAUUUUUGUUUGUGCAGAAACAACAAUAAAAUUUAAAGACAAGAAGACCCUACGAAUUUUUAAGAAAUAUUAAAAAGCUUUUUAAUAUUUCUUUUAGUUGGGGCGACUGAUGAAUAUAAAAAACUUUAUUUUCCUUAAAAAAUUGAACCAUUAGUAAUGGUAAUAUGGAAAAAAUACUCUAGGGAUAACAGCGUAAUAAUUUUUGAUAGUUCAUAUAGACAAAAUAGUUUGCGACCUCGAUGUUGGAUUAGGAUUCUUAUUUAAUGAAGAAGUUAAAAAAAGAAGUUUGUUCAACUUUCAAAUUCCUACUUGAUCUGAGU